ACUACAAACAUUUCCUGCCACUUAAAUCACCGCUGACAAGAUGGGCUUUUAAUAAAAGCUGGCCGUCUAUGCAAUAAAAAAACACUUAAAAAAAAAAAAAAAAACUAGACUAGAGAAUACAAAAAUGCACACAAGUAUAAUCUGUAGUUUUCAGACUUUUGUUAACAAUUAAACGGGGAUUUCUUGUAUAGGUCUCACUGAUAAAGAAUAUACAUUGUGCAUUUACUUAUACUACUGAUAUUGUUACAGUGCAAAGUUGGUUGGAAAUCGGCAAACUUACCCUGUAAAAAUGAAAUAGUCCAUAACAAUAAUGCAACUGUGAAUGCCAAGCACUGGCUAAUAAUUUCACUUAUGCUUUAACAUGAUUAUUAUUGCUUUUUUUGCUGUUUGAAGGCCUCAUAUCAAGACCAGUCAAGUGUGUUUUGAAGUAAAAGAGGCUGAUGUUCUAUUAAAACGUAAAAUUUGUCCAAAACAUUAAAUGUGAGUGAACCUCAGAGAAAAGAUCAAAUACAAAUAAUAAUGUAUAUGUUUCCUUUAACACAUACUUUCUGUUCAAUUACACUUUACAUCAUUAUGUUUGACUUUUCACAUGCAAAAAACCUCAUAUAUUACAUAAAACAGAAACACCAUAUAAUCUAAAACCUUUGGUUUCGAAGCUCCAGAAUCUCACACAUAACAGAGUACAACAAAACACACUUACCCUGGCCUAGAGGAAGAAAUUCCUUACAUGUAUGGGGAUGAUGAACGGCUGUGAGACCGGAACGCUUCCUCUGGAGGGGAUAGAGAUGCCAGAGUAAUGGAAGACCGCGGCCAGAGCUUCUCCCUCCGGCUAAUGGGCCAGAAACCACAGUCUCAUUUUUAACAGACCUUUUGUCGCCCCGCUUCGGGCUCCUUGAGGAAACAAAUAAUGACUCCUUGGCUCACCCUAACGAUCCACAUUAACGGAUCCGGAACGUUCCUUCACAUGUAAAGCUGAUCUGCGCGAACGCUUCGUGACUGAUUCAUGAGGUUCAAACUGUGACGUUUAGAGCGCUGGAGGCCAUGAUGUUCAUGAACAAAAGAUGAAAAUCUUUCACGUUAAAAAUGAUUCACAGCUUAUUCACAUUCUUGGGAAGCUACACCGUGAGCAGCUUGAUGCGGAAC
This is a long non-coding RNA of Cyprinus carpio carpio, 1143 nucleotides long. Lineage: Eukaryota; Metazoa; Chordata; Actinopteri; Cypriniformes; Cyprinidae. The record is from Ensembl.